Long non-coding RNA from Oncorhynchus tshawytscha (Chinook salmon), 786 nucleotides. The record is from Ensembl. NCBI's taxonomy places the organism in Eukaryota, Metazoa, Chordata, Actinopteri, Salmoniformes, Salmonidae.
CUCUGGGUUGGUUAACAGGACCUCCUGUGUAUGUCUCUCUCUCUCGCUCUCUCUCUCUCUCUACUAGGUUGGUUAACAGGACCUCCUGUGUAUAUCCCUUCCUCUUGGUUAACAGGACCUCCUGUGUAUGCUCCCCUUCCCUCUAGGUUGGUUUACAGGGCCUCCUGUGUACAUCCCUUCCUCUUGGUUAACAGGACCUCCUGUGUAUAUCCCUUCCUCUUGGUUAACAGGACCUCCUGUGUAUAUCCCUUCCUCUUGGUUAACAGGACCUCCUGUGUAUAUCCCUUCCUCUUGGUUAACAGGACCUCCUGUGUAUGCCCCCCCGCCCCCUCUAGGUUGGUUUACAGGGCCUCCUGUGUAUGUCCUCCCUCUUCGUUAAAGGGCGUCCUGUAUGUUCUCUCUCUCAAGCUUUGACACCCACUAGAAUAGAGAACCAACUCUCCUGGAGAUCUACUGGGUAUUGUAGGCUUUUGCUCCAGCCCUGCACUAGAUUCACACACCUGAUACAGCCAACCAGGGUCCUGAGGGGCAGAUCAUUAGUAGAAUCAGGUGUUUUAUAGUAGGGUUGGAACACAACCCUGCAUGCGGUAAGCUACUGUUCCCCAGGCAGCUCUAGAACCCAGGGAAUGUACUAAACAUGAGGGACUGGAUGGUUGUGUUGCGCUAGCAGGGUCAUGGUUGUGAAGUGGUUCACAGCUGGAUUUGUGUUACAGAAAGGGUUUCAAGCUUUUGCUGGUGUGUGGUGUGUGUGUGUGUGUGAGGAUGUGUGUGUGUGAGGAUGUUGAG